Molecule: transfer RNA, 73 nt
Filed under: Candidatus Aminicenantota bacterium
Lineage: Bacteria; Candidatus Aminicenantota
Description: Candidatus Aminicenantes bacterium tRNA-Gln
Rfam family: tRNA
About the family: Transfer RNA (tRNA) molecules are approximately 80 nucleotides in length. Their secondary structure includes four short double-helical elements and three loops (D, anti-codon, and T loops). Further hydrogen bonds mediate the characteristic L-shaped molecular structure. tRNAs have two regions of fundamental functional importance: the anti-codon, which is responsible for specific mRNA codon recognition, and the 3' end, to which the tRNAs corresponding amino acid is attached (by aminoacyl-tRNA synthetases). tRNAs cope with the degeneracy of the genetic code in two manners: having more than one tRNA (with a specific anti-codon) for a particular amino acid; and 'wobble' base-pairing, i.e. permitting non-standard base-pairing at the 3rd anti-codon position.
Source: RNAcentral
AGGAGCGUCGUUAAAUUGGGUAUGACACGGGACUUUGAUUCCCGGAUUGUAGGUUCGAGUCCUACCGCUCCUG